UACGUAGGUGGCAAGCGUUGUCCGGAUUUACUGGGCGUAAAGGGAGCGUAGGCGGACUUUUAAGUGAGAUGUGAAAUACCCGGGCUCAACUUGGGUGCUGCAUUUCAAACUGGAAGUCUAGAGUGCAGGAGAGGAGAAUGGAAUUCCUAGUGUAGCGGUGAAAUGCGUAGAGAUUAGGAAGAACACCAGUGGCGAAGGCGAUUCUCUGGACUGUAACUGACGCUGAGGCUCGAAAGCGUGGGGAGCAAACAGGAUUAGAUACCCGUGUA
RNAcentral lists this ribosomal RNA (269 nucleotides) under uncultured prokaryote. RNAcentral's name for it is "partial 16S ribosomal RNA". It matches the Rfam family "Bacterial small subunit ribosomal RNA", at positions 524 to 792 of the family's 1533-position model. The record is from RNAcentral.